AUUGAACGCUGGCGGCAGGCCUAACACAUGCAAGUCGAACGAGUGGCGGACGGGUGAGUAAUGUCUGGGAAACUGCCUGAUGGAGGGGGAUAACUACUGGAAACGGUCGCUAAUACCGCAUACCAUCAGAUGUGCCCAGAUGGGCUUGGCUAGUUGGUGGGGUAACGGCGCACCAAGGCGACGAUCCCUAGCUGGUCUGAGAGGAUGACCAGUCGCACUGGAACUGAGACACGGUCACGGGUCCUACGGUAGGCGGCGGUGGGAACGAUGGGAAAAUGGGGGAAAGCCUGAUGCAGCCAUUCGGGGUGUCUGACGAAGGCCUGGGGGAGGUAGAGUACUUUAAGCGGGUAGGCGGUUCCCGCAGAAAAGGCGCCGGCUAACUACGUGCCAGCAGCCGCGGUAAUAC
This 406-nucleotide ribosomal RNA is filed under the name uncultured bacterium. RNAcentral describes it as "partial 16S ribosomal RNA". It matches the Rfam family "Bacterial small subunit ribosomal RNA", at positions 29 to 526 of the family's 1533-position model. The record is from RNAcentral.